GACGAACGCUGGCGGCGUGCUUAACACAUGCAAGUCGAACGGAAAGGCCCUGCUUUUGUGGGGUGCUCGAGUGGCGAACGGGUGAGUAACACGUGAGUAACCUGCCCUUGACUUUGGGAUAACUUCAGGAAACUGGGGCUAAUACCGGAUAGGAGCUCCUGCUGCAUGGUGGGGGUUGGAAAGUUUCGGCGGUUGGGGAUGGACUCGCGGCUUAUCAGCUUGUUGGUGGUGUAGUGGCUUACCAAGGCUUUGACGGGUAGCCGGCAUGAGAGGGUGACCGGCCACAUUGGGACUGAGAUACGGCCCAGACUCCUACGGGAGGCAGCAGUGGGGAAUAUUGCACAAUGGGCGGAAGCGUGAUGCAGCAACGCCGCGUGCGGGAUGACGGCCUUCGGGUUGUAAACCGCUUUCGCCUGUGACGAAGCGUGAGUGACGGUAAUGGGUAAAGAAGCACCGGCUAACUACGUG
This 468-nucleotide ribosomal RNA is filed under the name uncultured bacterium. Its description in RNAcentral is "partial 16S ribosomal RNA". It matches the Rfam family "Bacterial small subunit ribosomal RNA", at positions 28 to 507 of the family's 1533-position model. The record is from RNAcentral.